Molecule: unclassified non-coding RNA, 21 nt
Filed under: Chlamydomonas reinhardtii
Lineage: Eukaryota; Viridiplantae; Chlorophyta; Chlorophyceae; Chlamydomonadales; Chlamydomonadaceae
Description: small RNA Cre_0918
Source: RNAcentral
CAGAGGUUUCCAGGCAGGCUG